CGACAUGUUGCGGCUAAUAACCUUCAUCAGAGUCCUCCUAUACUACGAUCAAUUAGUCAUUUUAUAUGGUCACCUGAUUAGGUCAGAAAUAAGAGAGGAAAUUUAAAUCAUUAAUAUCAAAAUAUCAGAAUAUAUAACAUCAAAAUAUAUUUAAAUCAAACACUGAAUAUAUCCUAAAUCAACAACGUAAUAAUAUAACAUCAAAAUUUAAAUCACACAUAAUAUAACCAAAAACAACAAUGUAUUUAAGAAACAAAGUGAAUCACACACAUUCACACAAAGAGAGAGAGAGAGAGAGAGAGAGAGAGAGAGAGAGAGGAGGAGGAGGAGGAGGAGGAGGAGGAGGAAGAGGAGGAGGAGGAGAAGAAGAAGAAGAAGAAGAAGAUGUAAACCUUAACCAUUUUAGCUUAACUAGAACGAAACGCCCACAGAAUGCAAUUCUGGGUUCGAAGUCGAAUUCAGAAAAUAAAAAUGUACAUUAGGCAUUCUUGUCGGCGAAUGUUACGAAUUCCUUUUACUUCUAAAGCUGGCCUACCGUUUCGCUCCUAUUGCGUAUAUAUCACAUUAAACUCGAAACUACAUAGCCUAAGGGAGUAAACUGGGUUGUAAUCGACAUUAAAUCUCUCCUAACAAAACCGUGGUAAAAUAAAGACAUAAACUCUUUCAAAUCAUUCUCAGGGUGUAUUUGCCGUUUUGCAACAUUUCCUCUUCAAAGGGAAUGUCUAUUUUGCUGACAGUGAACGUCGUGAGCAGCAGGAGAGCCGAUAGAAGUUUAGCUUCUGUUCAGAGCCUCUACACAGUGUGGGAGUUUGAGUCCCUAACCUAAACACCCCGUGACAAAUGUGGGGUGGAGCGUAAAUCGCUGCCGUCAUUUUUAUUAUUAUUAUUAUUAUUUUUUUUUUUUUAAUUACCUUUCAGAUGUAUUUAAAUAUAAAAUAUUUUAUAAUCAAUAAUAACAUUAAACAUAGGCUAUUUCAUGUUUCCUCCAAACAAUUUUUUCUUGAGUAUCAAUGUUGGAAAGGCGGGACUUAGCUCACCUGUCAAUCAUCAUCUAUGACGCAGCCGAAUGAAGCAAGAGACAAACUUGACUGAGACUGGGAGAAAUAACCUCAAUUUUUGUGUUAUUGUGUGCGUCUAUGACUGAUUGCCUAUCCCUAGACAUAAACAGAGCUGAGGAAACCCUGGCCCGAACACUAUACAACUGCUCUCAGAUCAGCCAAGAAACCACUGAAGAAACCACAUCUGAGCUCCAUCAGUAAAUGAACUGAACUUUACUGUAGUUUGGUUCUGUUUGUGCCUGUUGUGUCUCUACAUGCCUUUUGAUGCCAUUUUAUGAUUUAAAUAUCCAGUCUCAUUGUUUCUGAUGGUUUAAAUCAACAUCAGUGUUACAAAAUAAACACAAAGGCCUACUGGAAAUAAUUAAAGCUAUUUACAAAAGCCAAAAAAACUUCAGAAGACCUCACAGUACAAAAUAAUUCGAAUUACAAUGAAGAACAACACUGAUGUCUGUUUGAACGCUGUCAGCGCUCAUUAGUUGAAGGAAAGAGUCUUCUUUUCUCAUAGUUGAUUAUGUUUGUGAUUCCACUGAAUCCAGCUGACUUUCCUCCAGAUCAUCAGUCUUUAGGAGAGGUUUCAUUUCAUGCGAAUCUGCUGUGUUCCGGUUCUGGUUUGAUCCAUUGGCUGGAGUUUCAUCAGACCCUGCUGCAUUCUGGAUUUAGAAUAAAGGUGCGAUCCUAUUACGUUGUUUAGUGAAUUUCCCCAGGCGAAAUCCACUAAUAUCUAAAGUAGUGAUUCUCAGUCCUGGUCCUGGAGCCUCCAACAUUUCAGUUUUACAAGUUGAAAGAAAUGUGUUUUCAAGCUCAUGUGACUUGUUGCCGCUAGUUCAAGCAUGUAGACACCAUACGUAGUCAAAGCUAUUGCACACUUUGGGUGCAUCUCAAUCAGCUCUCUAGUUCAGUAGACAGUUAGGGCACGAGUCAGCCAGUAUAAGAGCUGUCUCAAUCUCAAAAUCCUUCCAGUGCAUUGGAAUGUUUGCACCCUAAAAAAAAAAAAUCCCACAAUUCACAGCAAAAACCAGCUGAUUGAGAUGCACCUUUUGUUUAUUCCAUUGAGGGAGUUCUGGGUACUCAUAGUGCACUAUGUUUUUAACUGUUUUUAACACCUACUCUGUUUUUAACUGUUAUCACACUACUUAUACUACAUAAUGGCCUGAAGUAUUGCAGAUAUGCAAAUAGUAUAGUCUUAAAAUUUGGGGUGGUUAACUUUACCAUGUAGCCCCUGCUGGUAGAUGCUGUAACUACACCAUUCAGAUGUCUAAAAUGGUUUGUGUCAAAUAAAUGAGACAAACACAAUCUGCAGUGCUGAGGUUUUCCAGGAGCAGGACUGAGAAACAAUGAUCUACACAACAUCUGUGUUUUUAAUCAUCAAGCAUUUUAUGAAGUGUUAAAUAUCAUGAAUAUGAUUGACUUGUUUUUAAACAAACACAACAUUAAAUCUGAUACUAACCUGAGAACGCAGAUUCUGUGACCCAGUAGCUAGAGUUUGAGGAGACCUUAAUGCCUUCUGUGUUCAAUGAAAUAUUUUAAACAGAUAUUUUCACAAUCAUAUACUCACUUUAUCUCAGAAACCCAUUGACAGAGCUGUAAAAAGUCAAUUAAAACACCUAGCCAUUUGCUUGGAAACAUUGAGUAUUUUGUAGAGGAAAAAAGUAAAAAAAAAAAUAAAAAAAAUAAAAAAAGUAGAGUACAAAAUUAUUUUGUACUCAGACUUUGUUUUAUUGUACUUUGUCAGUAUAAAAUAAAAAAAGACUUCUGUUAUAUCAGCCAGAGAUGAUGAUAAAAUGACUGAAUGCACUUUAAUAUGAUGUGAAACGUCUCCUGAUAUUGCAAUUUAUUAAAUACGAUUAACAUUAAAUGUAGCACUGUAUCAUAUUUAAUGUAAAUCAUAUUUAAUAAUGAUACUAACCUUGCAUGAUUGCAGACACAUUUUCAUCCCUGUGUGUUUAAAAAAGUUGAAGGAUAUUAUUUAAAAGCUGAUCAGAUUAGACAAAACAUUACUUCACCUUCAUUCAUUACUUCAUUCAAAUGCUAUUGACUAAAGUUCAGUUUGUACUCACAAGGUUCAAAUACCAGUAAACUUAUUAGAAAUAAAGUAAAGAGGAUUUCAAAGGAAAAGACGACGACUCUCAGAUCUCCAACUGCUCCAUCACCAUUAGCUGAGAAUGAACAAUAGUAUUUUAUUUACAAUAGACACUUGUAUUUACAUAUUAUGCCCAAUUAACAGCAUGAACAGCAGAUUAUAAGGCUUUAUUGUAGUAUUAUUGCUCUAAGUCAAUAUAGAAAUGAGAAUAUUUUGAUCAGAAUAACUUGAAGCUGAUUUCUGCCCCACAGUAAGAUAUUACCCAGAUAGCAAGCAACCAUUGAAACAAUAUUAAAUCAAUGUUAAUGUGUCAAUGUUAACCACACUGAAUCAACAUCACUUUUGUACCUGCAAUUUAUUUUGGAAAAAUGUUGAAAUUUCAUCCAAAAAUCAAUGGUAAUGGCGUUGAAUCAAUGUUACAAUGUGAUGUUGGUUCAAUAGCAUGCUUGCACUCUCAGAAAAUGAAACACAACAACUACAGCUGACUUAAAGCCACACAGCCUGAAAUCAACUAAAUAAAGGCAAUAAAUCUCUCAAGAUCUCAGCAGAGAAUGAUUAAACAACUCCAAAAAGAGCAGCUUCACUUAUUACUAACCAGUUUGACUUUAUGUCAUUCAUCAGAUGUUAAUGUCUUAUUUAAAAUGUUUCGUCACCAUUAUGGUUAUCAGUGUUUCCUUUAGUUGGGCAGUUUGACUCUUGGCUUUUUAUGUGAGUUUGUGGUCUUUGUAACAGUGCUUACCCAAACAUAUAAUUUGUUGCAAAGAAAGCCAGAAACAAAGAUGAUCAGGUGAUAUGGUUUUCAGCAUCAUAAAGUAGAAUAAUUCACUAAUCUUAUCCCUGACCAAAAGUGGUUAUUUGUUAUUAAUAAAUUCUAUUCAUUAAAAAUACUUCCUUUCGACAGAUUAGACAUUCUGAAUUUUGAUUUUUAAAAUACAUUAUCUGAAAAAAUUUUUAGACACACGCAGACAUCAAGAAUCAGCUUAUGAAUCUCAACAAUGGUUCAUGCCGCUGAGAGCCACCAUAGUAUAAAACUCAUGGCUCCCAGCAUGCACUGUGGCAUGAUAAUCACUGGUAAAAACUGUUACAAAUACCACAAACUCACAUAAAAAGCCAAGAGUCAGACUACCCAAUUAAAGGAAACACUGAUCACCAUAAUGGUGACCAAACAUUAUCAAUAAAAAAAUUAACAUCUAAAUCUGUUAAUUCUCAAAAAGAAUGUCUGAUGUGAUCUUGAGAGAUUAAUUGUCUUCUUUUAUUUUCAGUUGAUUUCAGGCUGUGUGGCUUUAAGUCAGCUUCAGGUGUAGUCAGUUGUUGUGUUUCAUUUUCUAAGAGUGCAAACAUGAUGUUGAACCAACAUCACAUUGUAACAUUGAUUCAAUGCCAUUACCAUUGAUUUUUGGAUGAAAUUUCAACAUUUUUUCGAUAUUUAUUGCGAGCGCAAAAGUGAUGUUGAUUCAAUGCAGUUAACGUUCACACAUUAACAUCGAUUUAACAUUGUUUCGAUGGUUGCUUGCUAUCUUGGUACCUAUACUAACGUGAUGCAUUAGCUUCUAUGUAUUUACCAAAGAUUUACUGUGAAUUUAUUAACGGAAUCAGUCACUGUAUGAUGUUCAGGUGUUGUGUUCACUCAACUGUUUUUAGUAUCAGUUCAGUCAUCAGUGUAACAGAGUUCAGUAAAACAACACCAACUGAUCCAAACACAAAUCUGUAAGAUCAAAUAAAAGUUUGACUACUGGAAAUGCUUUA
Long non-coding RNA from Ctenopharyngodon idella (grass carp), 4884 nucleotides. RefSeq lists it as uncharacterized. The record is from RefSeq and is a predicted model, not a curated record. The transcript has 2 exons. Lineage: Eukaryota; Metazoa; Chordata; Actinopteri; Cypriniformes; Xenocyprididae.